This 267-nucleotide unclassified non-coding RNA is filed under the name soil metagenome. Its description in RNAcentral is "partial internal transcribed spacer 1". The record is from RNAcentral.
ACACAAUUUUGAUUCACAAAUCUCUUUGCUUCGUUAUCUUUUUUUCUAGAUGCAAGAAAUUCCAUCUAGAGAAAGAGUAACAAGCAAUUAACCCCCUUUCUAUGACGAAAAAUCUUUACAAAAGAAUGGAAGAAAAGGAAUGUGUUUCGUCACAAUCCGUUUCAACCGUUUUUUUCCUUUACCCAACUUUUUUACCCCUUUUACAACAUGUAAUAGACUGAAAACAAAAAUCAUAUUCUAGAUCUCUAGAAUCUAAAACUAAGAAAA